GUGGAUUCUCAAGCGUGAGGUAAGAGCAUUUGGUGGAUGCCUUGGCGUAUACAGGCGAUGAAGGACGUGGCACGCUGCGAUAAGCGUGGGGGAGCCGUGAGCAGGCUUUGAUCCCGCGAUUUCCGAAUGGGGAAACCCACCUUCACCAUUUCUCUUCGAUCCCUUUUGGGGCUCGGAGUGAGGUGGACAAGGUAUCACCGAGCUGAACACAUAGGCUUGGUGAAGCGAACCCGGGGAACUGAAACAUCUCAGUACCCGGAGGAAAAGACAUCAACCGAGAUUCCCGUAGUAGUGGCGAGCGAACCGGGACCAGGCCAGUACCUUAUCUUCAACUAGCGGAACACUUUGGAAAGAGUGGCCAUAGCGGGUGACAGCCCCGUACGCGAAAGUGAUGGAUAAGGUCUCGAGUAGGGCGGGACACGUGUAAUCCUGUCUGAACAUGGGGGGACCACCCUCCAAGCCUAAAUACUCGUAUACGACCGAUAGCGAACACAGUACCGUGAGGGAAAGGUGAAAAGCACCCCGAUUAGGGGAGUGAAACAGUACCUGAAACCGGAUGCUUACAAGCAGUUGGAG
RNAcentral lists this ribosomal RNA (576 nucleotides) under Citromicrobium sp. RNAcentral's name for it is "bacterial LSU rRNA". It matches the Rfam family "Bacterial large subunit ribosomal RNA", at positions 1 to 579 of the family's 2925-position model. Lineage: Bacteria; Pseudomonadati; Pseudomonadota; Alphaproteobacteria; Sphingomonadales; Sphingomonadaceae. The record is from RNAcentral.